RNAcentral lists this non-coding RNA (21 nucleotides) under Rattus norvegicus (Norway rat). Lineage: Eukaryota; Metazoa; Chordata; Mammalia; Rodentia; Muridae. The record is from RNAcentral.
UCUGAGUUUGAUGCUGCUUUG